AGUUGCAGUUUCAUUUGCUUUAAAGCACAGCCCUCGUAAUAAAUGCUCACAGCAAAUGUGCUGAGCAAACACCUCGGCAUUCAUCAAUAUGCGGGGGCUGUUUACUGCCUCAUAAACUUGGAAGCAAGUGAUAUUGUCUCCUAAAUCAAUGGCUGCGCGGACAGCCUUGGCACUCCAGGAGAACAGCAUGGCCAGGCCGCGCCUGUGCUGAAAUUAAUGGCUGGAGCAGUGACUGGAAGGUGCUUAGUCACCGCCGAGGGGAUUAGGAGCCAUUCCAGGGGACGAGCAGCCACCGCAGACUCUGAGUGAAGACACAUCCUGGGUCCACUUCUCAGGCUCAACAUCCUCAAUUUCUUGGACCUCCUUCAUAUUGUGUGAGGUGGCAGAGGCUGCUUGCUGAUCACCAGGCUCCUCUCCUCUUCUUCUGCACUUUCCAGCCUCUCUCGCAGAGCAUGUUUCAGGCUUACUUGUUCAACUGGUCACUCAGCCUCAACAGCCUCCAAGCUGUUUCAUCAUUUUAUCUGUGAGGAUUUCAAAGGAAACCAGGAGCCGAGUGCCCAGAAAGAAAAGAAGACUGGAAUCAGAGAGCGUUCUGCAAGUUCGCAAGUUCAAGGGCCCAGAGGCAGAGUAGCCCAGAAGCCUCAAGGACUUUCUACCAAAACUCACAGGAUUUCUCUAAACAUGCUGUGCGGGUCAUCCAGCAACGGAGAAUAUAGAAAACUUCCAGAGAUAGAGAAGCCCUUCUGCUUCCAGCCCCCUGAUAAGGUAUAAGAGAGACAGAUUUUUAAUCAUGUAUAUCCAAAUAGGAGAGAAAAAGAUUCUGAAACUCUAACCUUGAGACGACUCUAACCCUACAUAUGAUAUAUGACCGCAGCCACAUGUUUUCCAUCAUUUUAAAAUAGACUUUUAUGUAUUUUAGAAAUGUUUUCCAUAAGCAUGUAUUUCUUCAACAAUCACAAAACAUUAAAUUUAUAAUAAAAUGAA
This is a long non-coding RNA of Gorilla gorilla gorilla (western lowland gorilla), 984 nucleotides long. RefSeq lists it as uncharacterized. The transcript is spliced from 4 exons. The record is from RefSeq and is a predicted model, not a curated record. NCBI's taxonomy places the organism in Eukaryota, Metazoa, Chordata, Mammalia, Primates, Hominidae.